RNAcentral lists this ribosomal RNA (375 nucleotides) under Hyalinobatrachium taylori (Taylor's glass frog). RNAcentral describes it as "partial 12S ribosomal RNA". Lineage: Eukaryota; Metazoa; Chordata; Amphibia; Anura; Centrolenidae. The record is from RNAcentral.
UGAAAUCAAUUAUUACUUAAUAUACACAUGCAAGUCUCCGCACCCCUGUGAAAACGCCCUUAAAUCCCCCUUAGGGAUAAGGAGCUGAUAUCAGGCACAACAAAAUCGCCCAAGACAUCUAGCUACGCCACACCCACAAGGGAACUCAGCAGUGAUUAACAUUGAACAUAAGCGAAAGCUUGACUCAGUUAAAGUAAAAAGAGCCGGCAAAUCUGGUGCCAGCCGCCGCGGUUACACCACGUGGCCCAAAUUGACUUCUACCGGCGUAAAGCGUGAUUAAAGACACCACUAAUAAUGGAGUUAAACUAAAACUAAGCUGUGACACGCUUGUGCUUAAGAAAACCGUAAACGAAAGUUACUCCAAUUUAACCAACU